GAUUUUGGAUUAAAUCCUAAAAAAUGUGUAAUGUUUCUAGGUCCACUUUCGUAAGACAAUGAAGAUCAGAAAAUGGCUCCAAAUUAGGAAAUGAAUCUAUGCUCUCCCUCUUCAUCGUCAUCUUCAAGGAACGGACUAAUCAAAAAAUAGGAGACCUUAGAACCUCCUCAACUUCCUUUUUUGUCAUGAAUUCUACUGCCAAAUUUUGGAGAUUGGUCAAUUUCAAUACUGCAUCUGUUUUAAUUAGAUACUCUGCAGUUAUCCAUCUCAAAGUCCCUAGGUGUCUCAAUUUAUCCAAUCUAAAAUGCCCCAUAGAAGUCUGAUCCACAAACAGAUGUCUUAAGCCUUCUAAUUUUGAUAAUGCAGAAGGUAAUAUAAUCAUAUAAGUAUUUCGUAGAUCAAGGGUAUAUAAACUCCGCAG
Molecule: unclassified non-coding RNA, 421 nt
Filed under: Hevea brasiliensis (rubber tree)
Lineage: Eukaryota; Viridiplantae; Streptophyta; Magnoliopsida; Malpighiales; Euphorbiaceae
Source: RNAcentral